CUUUACAUUUUGACAUUUUAAAAGCCCACGUCUAGGUUUUCAAGUGAGCUCUUUCCCCACUGGAAUUAGAGAUUUAGUUAUCAACGCUGAAGGACAAUUAUAUGUAGAGAUGGUCAGUUGGAUCAGUUUACUCAAGUUCUGAGUGACUGUUUUCCCAUGUUUCAAAAAUUUAUUCCACCAAGCUAACCAACAUAAGCUAUGCAAGCAAAUUAAACUUGCUACCCAAGGGAUGACAUAUAAACUGGAGAGACUGCCUAAUUCAUACACCGUUUAAAACAGAACCACUGCUGAUAGCUGUAAUUAGUUCCAUAGCAACCCUUCCUCCUGCUGCUGCAAGACUGAGGCUGCUAGUCCAACUCCUAUAACAGGUAUGUACCAAUUAGUAAAGCCUGAACCUAGUCCAGUGAUAUUGUAAUGAA
This 419-nucleotide long non-coding RNA is filed under the name Manacus vitellinus (golden-collared manakin). RNAcentral's name for it is "lncRNA (ENSMVIG00005014829.1)". The record is from RNAcentral. Lineage: Eukaryota; Metazoa; Chordata; Aves; Passeriformes; Pipridae.